UCCUGGCUCAGAACUAACGCUAGCGGCGCAUUUUAAGCAUGCAAGUCGAACGGUAAGGCCCGCUUUAUGUGGGUACACGAGUGGCAAACGGGUGCGUAACACGUGACUAACCUGCCUACUGCUUGGGGAUAACUUUCAGAAAUGAGAGCUAAUACCGAAUGAACCCUACGGGGGAAAGAUUUAUCGGCGGUAGAGGGGGUUGCGGCCAAUUAGCUUGUUGGUGGGGUAAAAGCCUACCAAGGCGAUGAUUGGUAGCCGGCUUGAGAGAGUGACCGGCCACAUUGGGACUGAGACACGGCCCAGACUCCUACGGGAGGCAGCAGCUAAGAAUCCUCCACAAUGGGCGCAAGCCUGAUGGAGUGACGCCGCGUGAGUGAUGAAGGCCUUAAUGGGUUGUAAGGCUCUUUUCUUGGGGAAGAAGAGUUUAUGUAGGUAGACUUGACGGUACCCUUGGAAUAAGCCCCGGCUAAUUACGUGCCAGCAGACGCGGUAAUACGUAAGGGGCGAGCGUUGUACGGAAUUAUUGGGCGUAAAGGGUGCGUAGGCGG
RNAcentral lists this ribosomal RNA (548 nucleotides) under uncultured organism. RNAcentral describes it as "bacterial SSU rRNA". It matches the Rfam family "Bacterial small subunit ribosomal RNA", at positions 17 to 578 of the family's 1533-position model. The record is from RNAcentral.